GACGAACGCUGGCGGCGUGCUUAACACAUGCAAGUCGAACGGAAAGGCCCUGCUUUUGUGGGGUGCUCGAGUGGCGAACGGGUGAGUAACACGUGAGUAACCUGCCCUUGACUGUGGGAUAACUUCAGGAAACAGGGGCGAAUACCGGAUAGGAGCUCCUGCUGCACGGUGGGGGUGGGAAAGUGACGGCGGUUGGGGAUGGACUCGCGGCUUAGCAGCUUGUUGGUGGGGUAGUGGCUUACCACGGCUUUGAUGGGAAGCCGGCCUGAGAGGGUGACCGGCCCCAAUGGGCCUGAGAUACGACCCAGACUCCUACGGGGGGCAGCAGUGGAAAAUAUUGCGCAAUAGGCCGCAGCCGUAUGCAGCAACGCCGCGUGCUAAAUGUCGGCCUUCGGGUUAUAAACCUCUUUCGCCUGUAACGAACCGUGAGUGACGGUAAUGAGUAAAGAAGCACCGGCUAACUACGUG
RNAcentral lists this ribosomal RNA (468 nucleotides) under uncultured bacterium. Its description in RNAcentral is "partial 16S ribosomal RNA". It matches the Rfam family "Bacterial small subunit ribosomal RNA", at positions 28 to 507 of the family's 1533-position model. The record is from RNAcentral.